Molecule: unclassified non-coding RNA, 220 nt
Filed under: plant metagenome
Description: partial contains small subunit ribosomal RNA, internal transcribed spacer 1, and 5.8S ribosomal RNA
Source: RNAcentral
UUUCCGUAGGUGAACCUGCGGAAGGAUCAUUACAGAGUUCAUGCCCUCACGGGUAGAUCUCCCACCCUUGAAUAUUUAUACCUUAGUUGCUUUGGCAGGCCGUGGAAACACCAUGGGCUCCGGCUUAUGCGUGCCUGCCAGAGGAAACAAACUCUGUUUUUAGUGAUGUCUGAGUACUAUAUAAUAGUUAAAACUUUCAACAACGGAUCUCUUGGUCCUG